Molecule: ribosomal RNA, 519 nt
Filed under: Bacillus sp. 9AD
Lineage: Bacteria; Bacillati; Bacillota; Bacilli; Caryophanales; Bacillaceae
Description: bacterial SSU rRNA
Rfam family: Bacterial small subunit ribosomal RNA
Source: RNAcentral
UCGAGCGGACAGAAGGGAGCUUGCUCCCGGAUGUUAGCGGCGGACGGGUGAGUAACACGUGGGUAACCUGCCUGUAAGACUGGGAUAACUCCAGGAAACCGGAGCUAAUACCGGAUAGUUCCUUGAACCGCAUGGUUCAAGGAUGAAAGACGGUUUCGGCUGUCACUUACAGAUGGACCCGCGGCGCAUUAGCUAGUUGGUGAGGUAACGGCUCACCAAGGCGACGAUGCGUAGCCGACCUGAGAGGGUGAUCGGCCACACUGGGACUGAGACACGGCCCAGACUCCUACGGGAGGCAGCAGUAGGGAAUCUUCCGCAAUGGACGAAAGUCUGACGGAGCAACGCCGCGUGAGUGAUGAAGGUUUUCGGAUCGUAAAGCUCUGUUGUUAGGGAAGAACAAGUGCAAGAGUAACUGCUUGCACCUUGACGGUACCUAACCAGAAAGCCACGGCUAACUACGUGCCAGCAGCCGCGGUAAUACGUAGGUGGCAAGCGUUGUCCGGAAUUAUUGGGCGUAAA